CACAUGCAGGUCGAGGGGCAGCAUUUUACUUUGCUUGCAAACUAAAGAUGGCGACCGGCGCACGGGUGAGUAACACGUAUCCAACCUGCCGAUAACUCGGGGAUAGCCUUUCGAAAGAAAGAUUAAUAUCCGAUAGUAUAUUAAAACCGCAUGGUUUUACUAUUAAAGAAUUUCGGUUAUCGAUGGGGAUGCGUUCCAUUAGUUUGUUGGCGGGGUGACGGCCCACCAAGACUACGAUGGAUAGGGGUUCUGAGAGGAAGGUCCCCCACAUUGGAACUGAGACACGGUCCAAACUCCUACGGGAGGCAGCAGUGAGGAAUAUUGGUCAAUGGACGAGAGUCUGAACCAGCCAAGUAGCGUGAAGGAUGACUGCCCUAUGGGUUGUAAACUUCUUUUAUAUGGGAAUAAAGUAUUCCACGUGUGGGAUUUUGUAUGUACCAUAUGAAUAAGGAUCGGCUAACUCCGUGCCAGCAGCCGCGGUAAUACGGAGGAUCCGAGCGUUAUCCGGAUUUAUUGGGUUUAAAGGGAGCGUAGGUGGAUUGUUAAGUCAGUUGUGAAAGUUUGCGGCUCAACCGUAAAAUUGCAGUUGAAACUGGCAGUCUUGAGUACAGUAGAGGUGGGCGGAAUUCGUGGUGUAGCGGUGAAAUGCUUAGAUAUCACGAAGAACUCCGAUUGCGAAGGCAGCUCACUAGACUGCAACUGACACUGAUGCUCGAAAGUGUGGGUAUCAAACAGGAUUAGAUACCCUGGUAGUCCACACAGUAAACGAUGAAUACUCGCUGUUUGCGAUAUACAGUAAGCGGCCAAGCGAAAGCAUUAAGUAUUCCAACUGGGGAGUACGCCGGCAACGGUGAAACUCAAAGGAAUUGACGGGGGCCCGCACAAGCGGAGGAACAUGUGGUUUAAUUCGAUGAUACGCGAGGAACCUUACCCGGGCUUAAAUUGCAUUUGAAUAAUCUGGAAACAGGUUAGCCGCAAGGCAAAUGUGAAGGUGCUGCAUGGUUGUCGUCAGCUCGUGCCGUGAGGUGUCGGCUUAAGUGCCAUAACGAGCGCAACCCUUAUCUUUAGUUACUAACAGGUCAUGCUGAGGACUCUAGAGAGACUGCCGUCGUAAGAUGUGAGGAAGGUGGGGAUGACGUCAAAUCAGCACGGCCCUUACGUCCGGGGCUACACACGUGUUACAAUGGGGGGUACAGAAGGCAGCUACACGGCGACGUGAUGCUAAUCCCGAAAGCCUCUCUCAGUUCGGAUUGGAGUCUGCAACCCGACUCCAUGAAGCUGGAUUCGCUAGUAAUCGCGCAUCAGCCACGGCGCGGUGAAUACGUUCCCGGGCCUUGUACACACCGCCCGUCAAGCCAUGAAAGCCGGGGGUACCUGAAGUGCGUAACGGCAAGGAGCGCCCUAGGGUAAAACUGGUGAUUGGG
RNAcentral lists this ribosomal RNA (1424 nucleotides) under uncultured organism. Its description in RNAcentral is "16S ribosomal RNA". It matches the Rfam family "Bacterial small subunit ribosomal RNA". The record is from RNAcentral.